UACGAGGGGGGCGGAGCGUUGUUCGGAAUUAUUGGCGUAAAGGGCUCGUAGGCGGUCUGUCGCGUCGGGAGUGAAAACUCAGGGCUUAACCCUGAGCCUGCUUCCGAUACGGGCAGACUAGAGGUAUGCAGGGGAGAACGGAAUUCCUGGUGUAGCGGUGAAAUGCGCAGAUAUCAGGAGGAACACCGAUGGCGAAGGCAGGUCUCUGGGCAUUAACUGACGCUGAGGAGCGAAAGCAUGGGGAGCGAACAGG
This 253-nucleotide ribosomal RNA is filed under the name uncultured bacterium. RNAcentral describes it as "partial 16S ribosomal RNA". It matches the Rfam family "Bacterial small subunit ribosomal RNA", at positions 524 to 776 of the family's 1533-position model. The record is from RNAcentral.